GUUGCUUCAGUUUUUUUGCUUCUGCUUGCUUGCUUGCUAUGCUCUUGAAGUUGUGUGGCCUGUAAGAUGAAGCAGUUACUACAAUUGGUGAAUGGUCUAGCUGUUGCUUAUCCCUUUUCUGUUUCUGACUUUGAAUUGAUUGUGUUUGUUGUAGUGUCUGCACCACCGCCGAAUGCAUGUUCCGGCAGUCCACGCAUCGAUCACUUGCAAAUUAAAAAGGCAUGAACGCACUAAACAGAAAUUCUGUGUAGAUGAUUCUUGUAUAUGGCAGUGGCACACGCGCUGGUUGAUGAAGCCGCUGGGCCGGAAGGACCUCUCAUUGCCAUGCUAAUGAGUAUCACGACGAACAUGGCCCCCACCUCAAUGCCUCCCUGUCGGCGGUGAGGUCUGGCCGGAUCUGUACGACCCGCAAUAUUAGUAAAGAAAAAGAAUAGCUUGAUCGUUCUAUGACUGUCGUGGAUAGGUAAUUUGCAUCAGAGGUCUAUAGGAUCUCCGCCAUUAGUUUCCCAUUAGAAAAUUGAGUUACUAAAUUAAGGAAGAUGUCCAAAGAGAGGUAAUUGAUGGCAUGAUAUGCAUCAGAAGAUCCUCAUCACUGAAGUAGUACUCCACCAGUCCACCUACAGUUUUGGAACAUAUAAACACGGCAUCAAAGUGCUACCUGGCACCAAAUAAAGAGUUCAGGUCAGGGUGUUAUACUGCAGCUAAGCAGUAUAGUCUGAAUUUCUAAGUUUGAGGAGGAUUUCAGUGUUUCUAAAGAAAGGGACAAGGAUCAGGGCUAUAAGAUUGUUGAAAGACUCAGAGACAUGUACCAUGAAUCGGUUCCGCAAGCUGCGGCACACAUGGUCUGCCUCCGUGUCGUCCUACCUGCUUUAGGGCCCUCUACUUCUUCCCCCAAGAUUGCCAUUAUGAUUAACAAAUAUGACAAGAGCAAUUUAAUUGGUGACACAUCAUAUUUAUUCUGCAACUGCAUGUGAAUUCUCAUCUUGCGCCUACCUCUUUUGCUUACCAGUGAAGAUGGAGAGCUUUAGGCAAAAAAAGAAAGAAAAAAAACUAGCACGUGAUCUAUGGAGAAUAAUUUUGACAGCAACUCCAACUAUGCAAUGGAGUACACUUGAUGCGAUCAAUUCUGGUGUGUGUGUGUGUG
Non-coding RNA from Triticum urartu, 1144 nucleotides. The record is from RefSeq and is a predicted model, not a curated record. NCBI's taxonomy places the organism in Eukaryota, Viridiplantae, Streptophyta, Magnoliopsida, Poales, Poaceae.